RNAcentral lists this ribosomal RNA (253 nucleotides) under uncultured bacterium. Its description in RNAcentral is "partial 16S ribosomal RNA". It matches the Rfam family "Bacterial small subunit ribosomal RNA", at positions 524 to 776 of the family's 1533-position model. The record is from RNAcentral.
UACGUAGGGUGCAAGCGUUGUCCGGAAUUAUUGGGCGUAAAGAGCUCGUAGGCGGUCUGUCACGUCGGAUGUGAAAACUCGGGGCUCAACCCCGAGCCUGCAUUCGAUACGGGCAGACUUGAGUUCGGCAGGGGAGACUGGAAUUCCUGGUGUAGCGGUGAAAUGCGCAGAUAUCAGGAGGAACACCGGUGGCGAAGGCGGCUUCUUGGGCCUUAACUGACGCUGAGGCGCGAAAGCUGGGGGAGCGAACGGG